Molecule: ribosomal RNA, 117 nt
Filed under: Terrihalobacillus insolitus
Lineage: Bacteria; Bacillati; Bacillota; Bacilli; Caryophanales; Bacillaceae
Description: Bacterial small subunit ribosomal RNA
Rfam family: Bacterial small subunit ribosomal RNA
Source: Rfam by way of RNAcentral
ACACCCGAAGUCGGUGAGGUAACCUUUUGGAGCCAGCCGCCGAAGGUGGGGCCAAUGAUUGGGGUGAAGUCGUAACAAGGUAGCCGUAUCGGAAGGUGCGGCUGGAUCACCUCCUUU